AUACGGAGGAUCCGAGCGUUAUCCGGAUUUAUUGGGUUUAAAGGGUGCGCAGGCGGGAUGUUAAGUCGGCGGUGAAAUUUUGCAGCCCACUUGUAAAAGGGCCUUCGAAAUUGGCUUUCUUGGUUGUGGAUGAAGAAGGGGGAAUUUGGGGGGUAGCGGGGAAAUGCUUAAAUAUCACGAGGAACUCCGAUUGCGCAGGCAGCUUACUAAACCACUACUGACGCUCAUGCACGAAGGCGUGGGGAUCAAACAGGAUUAGAUACCCUGGUAGUCCACGCAGUAAACGAUGAUUACUAGUUGUUUGCGAUACAAUGUAAGCGACUGUGCGAAAGCGUUAAGUAAUCCACCUGGGGAGUACGUUCGCAAGAAUGAAACUCAAAUGAAUUGACGGGG
Molecule: ribosomal RNA, 393 nt
Filed under: uncultured bacterium
Lineage: Bacteria
Description: partial 16S ribosomal RNA
Rfam family: Bacterial small subunit ribosomal RNA
Source: RNAcentral